UGUGCCCCUUUCCUGGCCCCUGCAGGUCUGCACAGUCCUGAGUGCUCGUGCCGCGCAAAUGAGUGUCUGAGCUUGGAGAGCUGGCCUCCGCACUGGGCUUCCUGAGGCCAGGAGGGUGCCAGCCAGCCCCUGGGGAUCUGAGGAGGUCUGGGAGCUGGCUUUGAACUUCUGCCCACGCUGGAACUUGGGGAGAAGAGGGAGAUAAAAUUUGGAAACAGGGAAAAGAGAAAGAAGAGGAAAAGAUGCCGAAAUAUACCUAGAAAGGCCCUGUGAACAUGCAGCUGGGUUUCCUGCUACUCCUUCCUCUACGCAGGCUGAAUACUAUUCCAUUAUGGAUAUCGUGCAUGUUGCUCAUGCAUUCAUCAGUCAAUGGACACUGGGGGGUAGCUUCUGCCCAAGUUUUAGACACUGUGAGUAAUGCUGCCGUGAACAUGCGUGCACAAAUAUCUCUUCAAUACCCUGUGUUCAGUCCUUUUGGAUAUAUGCCCAGAAGUGGACCUCCUCAUCACAUGGUA
This is a long non-coding RNA of Sapajus apella (tufted capuchin), 515 nucleotides long. RefSeq lists it as uncharacterized. The transcript is spliced from 3 exons. The record is from RefSeq and is a predicted model, not a curated record. NCBI's taxonomy places the organism in Eukaryota, Metazoa, Chordata, Mammalia, Primates, Cebidae.